UACAGAGGUCUCAAGCGUUGUUCGGAUUCAUUGGGCGUAAAGGGUGCGUAGGUGGGCAGUUAAGUCAGUGGUGAAAUCUCCGGGCUCAACCCGGAAACUGCCAUUGAUACUAUCUGUCUUGAAUAUCGUGGAGGUAAGCGGAAUAUGUCAUGUAGCGGUGAAAUGCUUAGAUAUGACAUAGAACACCAAUUGCGAAGGCAGCUUACUGCCCGAAUAUUGACACUGAGGCACGAAAGCGUGGGGAUCAAACAGG
RNAcentral lists this ribosomal RNA (253 nucleotides) under uncultured bacterium. RNAcentral describes it as "partial 16S ribosomal RNA". It matches the Rfam family "Bacterial small subunit ribosomal RNA", at positions 524 to 776 of the family's 1533-position model. The record is from RNAcentral.